Molecule: unclassified non-coding RNA, 666 nt
Filed under: Lytechinus variegatus (green sea urchin)
Lineage: Eukaryota; Metazoa; Echinodermata; Echinoidea; Temnopleuroida; Toxopneustidae
Description: uncharacterized LOC121412642, transcript variant X1
Source: RNAcentral
UGACAUUGGGCGUCAGCUUGUAAUCUCAGGUGACGUAGCGAGGUGAGGGACAACUACCUAAAAAAAGACAGAAAAUGGAGUGGAAGAUUGGUGACGGAGCUCUCUCAAACAAAGCACGUAAAUACAAGUACAGAGAGGCAAUGGAAUUCCUAGUUCUCUAUACAUACAUAAUCGAGAAACAAGUUCAAUCUUGGAUCCUGUUUUUGAUGUGGACACACCAGGAGAAGCCUGUACCAAGCAGGAAGAAACUGAGCAGGAGAAUGGUGACAUAUGUCCACAACGUGGGUCAGACUUCCUCGUCAUCAUCCUCAGGCACGUCCGCAACAUCAGUCCAGUCUUCGAGUCCCAACUUCACUUCAAAUCGAGGACACAAUGUUGCAGUAAUUUCAAAGCACCGAUAGUCAUGGUGACAACAUAACUGUAGAUCAAUUUUUCUCCAGUUUGUCCCCCAUUGUCCCACACUGUAAAAGUUACCUCAAUGCCAGCUCCAUUGCCAUGAUUGCUAUGAGGUUAAUUUCGGUCUUCUGAACAUUGAACAUACUACUAUAGGAAUUAAAGGUUUCGUGUCAUCUAAAUCCAAGUCGAUUCCUAUUGAUGUGAUAAACAUCUCACAAUUUAAGAAUCCAAAUAUGUUUCGUAGAUUUAAAAAAAGGUAACGGAAAAUAU